Molecule: ribosomal RNA, 550 nt
Filed under: Streptomyces flavovariabilis
Lineage: Bacteria; Bacillati; Actinomycetota; Actinomycetes; Kitasatosporales; Streptomycetaceae
Description: bacterial SSU rRNA
Rfam family: Bacterial small subunit ribosomal RNA
Source: RNAcentral
GCGGUAAUACGUAGGGCGCAAGCGUUGUCCGGAAUUAUUGGGCGUAAAGAGCUCGUAGGCGGCUUGUCACGUCGGGUGUGAAAGACCGGGGCUUAACCCCGGUUCUGCAUUCGAUACGGGCUAGCUAGAGUGUGGUAGGGGAGAUCGGAAUUCCUGGUGUAGCGGUGAAAUGCGCAGAUAUCAGGAGGAACACCGGUGGCGAAGGCGGAUCUCUGGGCCAUUACUGACGCUGAGGAGCGAAAGCGUGGGGAGCGAACAGGAUUAGAUACCCUGGUAGUCCACGCCGUAAACGGUGGGAACUAGGUGUUGGCGACAUUCCACGUCGUCGGUGCCGCAGCUAACGCAUUAAGUUCCCCGCCUGGGGAGUACGGCCGCAAGGCUAAAACUCAAAGGAAUUGACGGGGGCCCGCACAAGCAGCGGAGCAUGUGGCUUAAUUCGACGCAACGCGAAGAACCUUACCAAGGCUUGACAUAUACCGGAAAGCAUUAGAGAUAGUGCCCCCCUUGUGGUCGGUAUACAGGUGGUGCAUGGCUGUCGUCAGCUCGUGUC